AGAGUUUGAUCAUGGCUCAGGACGAACGCUGGCGGCGUGCUUAAUACAUGCAAGUCGAGCGAGGCCUUGGAAUUGGAGUCCUUCGGGAUGAAGAGUCCUUGGCCUAGCGGCGGACGGGUGAGUAACGCGUGGGCAACCUACCCCAAAGUCCGGGAUAACAGUGGGAAACCGCUGCUAAUACCGGAUGGCUUUACCUGAGGGCAUCCUUGGGUAAAGAAAGGUUACGCUUUGGGAUGGGCCCGCGUCCCAUUAGCUAGUUGGUGAGGUAACGGCUCACCAAGGCCACGAUGGGUAGCCGGCCUGAGAGGGUGAACGGCCACACUGGGACUGAGACACGGCCCAGACUCCUACGGGAGGCAGCAGUAGGGAAUAUUGCGCAAUGGGCGGAAGCCUGACGCAGCGACGCCGCGUGAGCGAAGAAGGCCUUCGGGUCGUAAAGCUCUGUCCUUGGGGAAGAAGGCGAAAGCUUGACGGUACCCAAGAAGAAAGCCCCGGCUAACUACGUGCCAGCAGCCGCGGUAAUACGUAGGGGGCGAGCGUUGUCCGGAAUUACCGGGCGUAAAGGGUGCGUAGGCGGCCUUUUAAGUCAGAUGUGAAAGGCUGCGGCUUAACCGCAGGACUGCAUUUGAAACUGGAAGGCUUGAGUGUCGGAGAGGGUAGUGGAAUUCCCAGUGUAGCGGUGAAAUGCGUAGAUAUUGGGAGGAACACCAGUGGCGAAGGCGACUACCUGGACGAUAACUGACGCUGAGGCACGAAAGCUAGGGGAGCAAACAGGAUUAGAUACCCUGGUAGUCCUAGCCGUAAACGAUGGGUACUAGGUGUAGGUGGUUUCGAUACCAUCUGUGCCGCAGUUAACGCAAUAAGUACCCCGCCUGGGGAGUACGGUCGCAAGACUGAAACUCAAAUGAAUUGACGG
RNAcentral lists this ribosomal RNA (916 nucleotides) under uncultured bacterium. Its description in RNAcentral is "bacterial SSU rRNA". It matches the Rfam family "Bacterial small subunit ribosomal RNA", at positions 8 to 916 of the family's 1533-position model. The record is from RNAcentral.